Long non-coding RNA from Arachis ipaensis, 913 nucleotides. RefSeq lists it as uncharacterized. Lineage: Eukaryota; Viridiplantae; Streptophyta; Magnoliopsida; Fabales; Fabaceae. The record is from RefSeq and is a predicted model, not a curated record.
AAACGGCGUCGUUCAAGUGCCCCACUCCCCUCUAAUCAAACCUAAUCUAGUAAUCUGAAUGGAAACCCCCCAAACUCUAGCCUCAUCUCUCUUAUCUCUCGCACUCCAGAGGGCCUCACCUUCGCCGCGUCACUCUCUCGUCUCUCCCCUCACCUCGUCAGUUGUCACUCUCAGUCUCUCACAGCGUCACCUCGUCACUCUCUCGGUCUCGCACUCAUAAGCUCGUCGUCGCGGUCUCGUGCUCUGCGUUCGUCGGCGGCAGAAGCAAACGGGACCAGUCAAGCAGCAUCUUCUGCAUCGGCGGGUGGUAGUGGUCGCAGUCUCGUAACCAGUCAACUGGGAACAUGGCACAUCGGGUGGAGACAACGCAGAGCCUCCCGACGGUGACUUCUGAGUACGAUCCCUCAAACCAGGCGUGGAUAGUUACAACCACUACUACUGUGGUCCAGACUAUCUACUUAGAUCGAAGUUCUGUAGAAGAAAUCCCCCAAAUGCCGGUCAUAACUUUCCUAGAUAUGAACACUCCAGCACCGUCACCCGAGGUGGUCAACCUUAAUUCAGAUGAAAGUGAAGUACGUGCCAUAUUUUCCCAUCUCGGCACCACAUCAGAUUCUAGUUCAUCGCAUGAAUAGGAUCUUCACCCGUGCAAAAGUGUUAGAAGAGGAUUGCUGGUACCCCAAUUCAUGGAAAACUGAAGGGUUCAGAUGAUGGAUAGAAUAUGAUACAAGGAUGAGAGCUUCUUCGACGAAUUUAGUUAGGACGUGUUGGGUUUUCUUCCUAGUUAUUUCUCGUUAAGCAUUUCUUUUCUGCUAGUAACAUUACUCAUGGGAACUUUGUUGUUUUAUUUAUUUUUUUUAUUUGCUAGAACCUGCUUAUGUGUGUUCAUUUGUAAGUGUUCUUGCAUAUUCAUUCC